UGAGAGUUUAAGUUGAUUUGCAAUCAGCUAGAAUGUUUAACAUACUUUGAA
This 51-nucleotide transfer RNA is filed under the name Araneus ventricosus. RNAcentral's name for it is "tRNA-Ala". The record is from RNAcentral. Lineage: Eukaryota; Metazoa; Arthropoda; Arachnida; Araneae; Araneidae.